Molecule: ribosomal RNA, 539 nt
Filed under: uncultured bacterium
Lineage: Bacteria
Description: bacterial SSU rRNA
Rfam family: Bacterial small subunit ribosomal RNA
Source: RNAcentral
UGGGGAAUAUUGCGCAAUGGGCGAAAGCCUGACGCAGCAACACCGCGUGAGGGAUGACGGCCUUCGGGUUGUAAACCUCUUUCAGCUCCGACGAAGCGAAAGUGACGGUAGGAGCAGAAGAAGCACCGGCUAACUACGUGCCAGCAGCCGCGGUAAUACGUAGGGUGCAAGCGUUGUCCGGAAUUAUUGGGCGUAAAGAGCUCGUAGGCGGUCCGUUGCGUCUGCCGUGAAAACCCGGAGCUCAACUCCGGGCCUGCGGUGGAUACGGGCGGACUAGAGUCCGGUAGGGGAGACUGGAAUUCCUGGUGUAGCGGGUGGAAUGCGCAGAUAUCAGGAGGAACACCGGUGGCGAAGGCGGGUCUCUGGGCCGGAACUGACGCUGAGGAGCGAAAGCGUGGGGAGCGAACAGGAUUAGAUACCCUGGUAGUCCACGCCGUAAACGGUGGGCGCUAGGUGUGGGGAUCGUUUCCACGAUCUCCGUGCCGUAGCUAACGCAUUAAGCGCCCCGCCUGGGGAGUACGGCCGCAAGGCUAAAACUC